AAGUUGGUGGUUAUUAGUUUUUAAUUUGUUAUGAUUAAUGUUUAAAGAAUUAUUAUGUUUUAGUAUUUUUAAUGAAAUGAUUUUUUUAAUUAUAGAGUAGAAGUAUUGUGAAAGAAUUUAAUUAUUUAAGAUAAAGAAGAUUUUAUUUGUUGUACCUUGUGUGUCAGGGUUUAUUUAAUUUAGGAUUUUAUAAUUGUUUCCCGAAUUCGUAAGAGUUAAUUUUCUAAUAUUUUGUUGUGAAAGAACCAAUAUUAAUAGAGAGUUAGAAAUGAAACGUUAAUCGUUUUCGAAUAUAUCUGGUUUUUGAAGAAAUAAAUUUAAUUUGGAGCAAGUUUUUAAUUUUUCUUUUGUUUGAAAUUUUAAAGGCUUGUUUUAAUAUUUAAGGGGAUGAGCUCUUAUUUUAAGUUUUAAAAGCUUGUUUUUGUUUUAGUUAAAUAGGAUUAGAAAUGUUUAUUUUUUAUAGUUUUUAAUAAUUAGGCUGAUGUUUAAUAUAAUUUUUAUAUGCUUUAAUUGAUGUAUUUAAAUUUAAUUAUUAAUUUUUAAUUUUUAGUAAUAAUGAUAGAAUUAUUAUAGUAUAUUUGUGUUGUUUAACAAAACAAAUUUAGUUCAUUGAGAGGAACUCGGCAAAAUGUCUUUCCGCCUGUUUAAUCAAAACAUGUCUUUUUGAAUAUUAAUUUAAAGUCUGGCCUGCCCACUGAUAUUUUGAAUGGCCGCAGUAUAUUGACUGUGCAAAGGUAGCAUAAUCAUUAGUUUUUUAAUUGAGAACUGGAAUGAAUGGCUGGACGAGAAAGAAGCUGUCUUUUAAUGAUUUUAUUAAAAUUUUAUUUUUAAGUUAAAAAGCUUAAAUUUUUUAUAAAGACGAGAAGACCCUAUAGAGUUUAAUUUAUAGAUAUUAUAAUUUGCUAGAAUGUAAUGAGUUAAAGUGUUUUAUAAAUUUUGUUGGGGUGAUGUAAAAAUUAGUUAAACUUUUUAUUUAUUAAAACAUUUAUUGAUGAUUAGUUGAUCCUGGAGGCUGGAUUAAUAGACUAAAUUACCUUAGGGAUAACAGCGUAAUUUUUUUUGAGAGUUCUUAUUGAAAAAAAAGUUUGCGACCUCGAUGUUGAAUUAAAGUUUAAUUUUGGUGCAGAAGCUAAAAGUUUAAGUCUGUUCGACUUUUGAAACUUUACAUGAUUUGAGUUUAAACCGGCGUGAGCCAGGUUGGUUUCUAUCUUUUAAUGAUUGAGAUGUUUUAGUACGAAAGGACCAAUUAUCUGAAUAAGAUUUUUUUAUGAGAAUAAAGU
RNAcentral lists this ribosomal RNA (1280 nucleotides) under Mordella atrata. RNAcentral describes it as "large subunit ribosomal RNA". The stretch from base 1041 to 1199 matches the Rfam family "Archaeal large subunit ribosomal RNA", at positions 2542 to 2701 of the family's 2987-position model. The record is from RNAcentral. Lineage: Eukaryota; Metazoa; Arthropoda; Insecta; Coleoptera; Mordellidae.